This 359-nucleotide ribosomal RNA is filed under the name uncultured bacterium. RNAcentral describes it as "bacterial SSU rRNA". It matches the Rfam family "Bacterial small subunit ribosomal RNA", at positions 29 to 386 of the family's 1533-position model. The record is from RNAcentral.
AUUGAACGCUGGCGGAAUGCUUUACACAUGCAAGUCGAACGGCAGCACGGGGCAAUCUGGUGGCGAGUGGCGAACGGGUGAGUAAUACAUCGGAACGUGCCCAAUCGUGGGGGGAUAACGUAGCGAAAGCUACGCUAAUACCGCAUACGAUCUACGGAUGAAAGCGGGGGAGUCGCAAGACCUCGCGCGAAUGGAGCGGCCGAUGGCAGAUUAGGUAGUUGGUGGGGUAAAGGCUCACCAAGCCUGCGAUCUGUAGCUGGUCUGAGAGGACGACCAGCCACACUGGAACUGAGACACGGUCCAGACUCCUACGGGAGGCAGCAGUGGGGAAUUUUGGACAAUAGGCGGCAAGACCUCGA